Molecule: ribosomal RNA, 257 nt
Filed under: uncultured prokaryote
Description: partial 16S ribosomal RNA
Rfam family: Bacterial small subunit ribosomal RNA
Source: RNAcentral
UACGGAGGAUGCAAGCGUUAUCCGGAUUUAUUGGGUUUAAAGGGUGCGCAGGUGGUUUAAUAAGUCAGUGGUGAAAGUCUGCCGCUUAACGGUAGGAUUGCCAUUGAUACUGUUGGACUUGAAUAUGGAUGAGGUAGGCGGAAUGUGUAGUGUAGCGGUGAAAUGCUUAGAUAUUACACAGAACACCGAUUGCGAAGGCAGCUUACUAAUCCAUGAUUGACGCUGAGGCACGAAAGCGUGGGGAUCAAACAGGAUUA